Molecule: ribosomal RNA, 329 nt
Filed under: uncultured eukaryote
Lineage: Eukaryota
Description: partial 18S ribosomal RNA
Rfam family: Eukaryotic small subunit ribosomal RNA
Source: RNAcentral
CCCUUAGAUGUUCUGGGCCGCACGCGCGCUACACUGACGAUGGCAACGAGUUUUUCCUUCGCCGAAAGGUGUGGGUAAUCUUUUGAAACAUCGUCGUGCUGGGGAUAGAUCAUUGCAAUUUUUGAUCUUGAACGAGGAAUUCCUAGUAAGCGCGAGUCAUCAGCUCGCGUUGAUUACGUCCCUGCCCUUUGUACACACCGCCCGUCGCUACUACCGAUUGAAUGGUUUAGUGAGGACUCCUGAUUGGCGCCGCCGCCCCGGCAACGGAGCGGCGGACUGCCGAAAAGUUGUUCAAACUUGAUCAUUUAGAGGAAGUAAAAGUCGUAACA